RNAcentral lists this long non-coding RNA (340 nucleotides) under Homo sapiens (human). RNAcentral describes it as "non-protein coding MIR205HG:15". The record is from RNAcentral. Lineage: Eukaryota; Metazoa; Chordata; Mammalia; Primates; Hominidae.
GAGCUUGCCUUCUCUUUCCUUAAUUUCCCCUCGCAGUGUGGUCUUUUCCCCACCCCCAGACAUGAAAGGGAAGCAGGUCACAAAGCCUUUCGGAUUAUAAAAGAAACACUUGCUUCUCACAAGGGGAGCAGCAGACUUACUCUGUACUAAAUGCCAGGAUAAGCCUCUGGCUGGGCCUCGACUGUGACCCUCCGGCCUCUUUCUACAGCUCUGCCUGGAUGGACUGGCCUAUCUCUGCUGGAUUCCCGAAGUGCAUUGUGUAGAGACAGCAACUCAGGUCAGGCUAAAAGCUCAAGCAAGCAAGCGCGCACACACACGCGCGCACACACACACACACACA